This 73-nucleotide transfer RNA is filed under the name Bos taurus (domestic cattle). It matches the Rfam family "tRNA". From Rfam's summary of the family: Transfer RNA (tRNA) molecules are approximately 80 nucleotides in length. Their secondary structure includes four short double-helical elements and three loops (D, anti-codon, and T loops). Lineage: Eukaryota; Metazoa; Chordata; Mammalia; Artiodactyla; Bovidae. RNAcentral also lists the same sequence under 5 other names. The record is from Rfam by way of RNAcentral.
UCCCUGGUGAUCCAGUAGUUAGGACUCAGCACUUCCACUGCCAAGGGCCCAGGUUCAAUACCUGGUUGGGGAA